This 30-nucleotide non-coding RNA is filed under the name Mus musculus (house mouse). The record is from RNAcentral. Lineage: Eukaryota; Metazoa; Chordata; Mammalia; Rodentia; Muridae.
UUGAAGUUGCAGGAAUCACCCUACUUGGAU